RNAcentral lists this small RNA (2246 nucleotides) under Rattus norvegicus (Norway rat). RNAcentral describes it as "uncharacterized LOC102549408". The record is from RNAcentral. Lineage: Eukaryota; Metazoa; Chordata; Mammalia; Rodentia; Muridae.
AUAGGUUCCAUAAAUUUUCUAAAACAGCGUCACCAGCUGGGAGGCAACCAUUUCACACUCAAAACACAAGUUUUUUUUUUUCCCCCACAAGUCUGGGUGGCUUCUUCUCAGGCACCGCGCUCUUUGUGUGGGGAUUCUUGGGGGUUUUGUUCCAGCUCGUGACUUGGGAGAGAAGCCAAGCCAAUUAGGGGUGAAGUCCAGACCUGCAGAACAUGCUAGUGUUGCCAAGAAGCUUAGACCCUGACCCAGGAUGCAGUGGGCAUGGAAGGACACGGUCCUUGGCUUGAUGGCUUCAUAAUGCUCAGUUCAAAUCCCACCUCUUGGCCACAUGCUGAGUCAAGAUCAGUGGUGAUAAAAUCCUUCCGAUGUGGGAAGUCCGACUCAUCCCUUUCUACCUUCCAUUCCGGUCAAGGCCUGCCAAGAAUCCCACCGUGAGUAGUGUGCCCUUCUGACUGCAGGAGAGGAGAGUUUCUGCAGAGUGCUGUGAAUUGGAUACUUUAGUAUUUUGCAGAGCCGCUAGCCUGAGGCUCUUACUAGGACGUGGGCAGACAAUCAAGAAUCCCGCGCUGGUUCAUGUGCUCUGCCAGGGCUCUACUGCGUGCAGGAAGUGUCUUUCUACCAUCAAGGCCAUUAAAAACCCAGGCUAGUUGAAAUGAACCUAUUGAGUCAGUGAGGAGGUGGAUAAGUGAAGACUCAUUACAGACCCAGUCAGCGCUGGCACAGAGCCGACUGGAGGAAGGUCAGUCAGGAGCAGAAAAGGCCAUAAAUUGGGAUUCUUGGUUCACAAUUCCAUGACUACCUACCUGAGACACUUUUGUCAGGCCACUCAACCAUUCUGGACUGUGAUUUCUUAUCUAUAGACUGAAGAACUGAGACCUGGAAGCCAGUGGCCAACACUGCUUACUAAGUAGUAUAAUAAUUGUUCUGAGAGAAUGAGAAAACCCAGAGAAGCAGGGCUGACCUGGGAAUCUAAGCCUUCAGUCUCUCAGGGCUACCGUUGAGUGAUUUGCUGCUGUUCAUCUGAACCUAGGCUGACUGGUACUUUCAGCAAGUCUACCAUUCUAACCAUUACAGACCUCCCCCGCCUCUGGGGAAGGGAAGCACCGUGCACACUCUCUGAAGUUGGGGAUCUUGGAACUAGUUUCCCAGUCACUUUAGAUUGGUAACUCUCCAUUCGCUAAUGGGGACCGAAAUACCAAUCCUUGAGGGCUGUGGUUACAAUGCAUGCUAAUGUGUCUUGAUGUUUUGCAGAUGGACUAAUUUGCAUAAAUCUGCUUCUGAGCACAGCUGGCCUUGCAAUAGGAAAGCGAGUUAUACCCUUUCUCGACUCACCUCUUGCUCCACUGAGUAACUUUUGCACAGCAAGUCCCCACCCAGUGAACCAGAUCAGUCACAGAAGACACCCUGCCUCCGGCUUCCCCAGCAAGCUCCAAUCUGAGCACGCUGAAGUGGUCCCCACAGCUCUGCUUCUUUAAGUCUUUCCACUUCUUCCUGCUUCUGCGCCUCUGCUGAUUGGCAAAGCACAAUGCUGGUGGCCUUGCUGUGGCAACGAGGUGGAAGCGAAUGGCCUACCUGCUCUUUGUCUCGGGAUUGGGGAUGACUUUUGUUUCUACACAGAGUGAGAUAGCUUCUUGCUGUCAUUUUAGAAGGACAGAGCCAUAUGAGCCUUCAUGGGGAGAAGGGAAGAGGGCUGUGGAAUAAGGUAACCUGUCCUUUUCGAUGAACCCUGGAUUCUUAAAAGAGAGGCAUUGGUUCAGAGUGAAAUGGACAUUCUCCUGGGUCAGGCAGUGACAGACAACAGUAGGCUCUAAGCAGAGUGCUGUCUAUGACCACCUUUCUAACCCCAGAGAAGACGUUAGCAUCUCUGAUCGCCCACAGUGAAAUAUGGAUGAUUCAGCUCCUCCAGGGGUAAAGUGUGUUCUACUGCAGAUGCUGCUGACAUCAUGGGCAACCUACUCCAUCUGUCAUUUCCUCCCAGCAUUCUGCUGUCUCAGGGCUCUUGCUCUCAUCAUGUUUCCCAGCAGAGCCACAGGUGGUAAAGCCAGUUGUCAAGCCAUAGAUGACAAGUGUGACCCCACAAUGCCCAGCCAGGGCAUGAGGGAGGGGUUACCCUAAGGGAGGCCAGGCAGGGGCAUCAGUGCUCAGGAAGAGGGGUUGGCAUACCCUCAAGGUCUAAAGAAUAAGCUUCACUCCACAGAGAAGACAGACCAGUGGUUGGUUAAUUAAUAAACAUCUCUUGUCUCCCA